RNAcentral lists this microRNA precursor (229 nucleotides) under Picea abies (Norway spruce). RNAcentral describes it as "miR11553 stem-loop (pab-MIR11553)". Lineage: Eukaryota; Viridiplantae; Streptophyta; Pinopsida; Pinales; Pinaceae. The record is from miRBase by way of RNAcentral.
UUCACAUGCUUACCUGAAAUGAUCAUUAAAAUAAGUUGGAUACUCCUAACACUAAACAAUGGCGUGCCUUGGAAUUUUGGAGGGGUUGGAGAAAAUUGUGAAAAGUGUAUUGAAAGAGGUAAAACAAGAGGUCAUUACCUGCCCAAUUGCAUUGGACGAAGAAACUGAGGAUUCUCAGUGUUAGGUGUAGCCAACUUAUUUUAAUGGGCAUUUUAGGAAAGCAUUUGAA